This is a small nuclear RNA of Echinops telfairi (small Madagascar hedgehog), 102 nucleotides long. The record is from Ensembl. NCBI's taxonomy places the organism in Eukaryota, Metazoa, Chordata, Mammalia, Afrosoricida, Tenrecidae.
GUGCUCACUUCGGCAGCACAUAUACUAAAAUUGGAAAUAGAGAAGAUUAGCAUGGCCCCCGAGCAAGGAUGACAUGCAAAUUCAUGAGCGUUCCAUAUUUCU